GAUGAACGCUAGCGGCAGGCUUAACACAUGCAAGUCGAGGGGCAGCACGGGUAGCAAUACCUGGUGGCGACCGGCGCAAGGGUGCGUAACGCGUGAGCAACAUGCCCUAUACAGGGGGAUAAUCCAGGGAAACUUGGUCUAAUAUCCCAUAGCAUUUAGAGGAGGCAUCUUCACUAAAUUAAAGCUUCGGUGGUAUAGGAUUGGCUCGCGUGACAUUAGCUAGAUGGUGAGGUAACGGCCCACCAUGGCUAUGAUGUCUAGGGGUUCUGAGAGGAAGACCCCCCACACUGGGACUGAGACACGGCCCAGACUCCUACGGGAGGCAGCAGUGAGGAAUAUUGGACAAUGGAUGGAAAUCUGAUCCAGCCAUGCCGCGUGCAGGAAGACGGCCCUAUGGGUUGUAAACUGCUUUUAUAUGGGAGCAAUAAGGUUUACGCGUAGACCGAUGAGAGUACCAUAUGAAUAAGCAUCGGCUAAC
This 478-nucleotide ribosomal RNA is filed under the name uncultured bacterium. RNAcentral describes it as "bacterial SSU rRNA". It matches the Rfam family "Bacterial small subunit ribosomal RNA", at positions 28 to 501 of the family's 1533-position model. The record is from RNAcentral.